Long non-coding RNA from Gossypium raimondii (Peruvian cotton), 644 nucleotides. RefSeq lists it as uncharacterized. Lineage: Eukaryota; Viridiplantae; Streptophyta; Magnoliopsida; Malvales; Malvaceae. The transcript is spliced from 3 exons. The record is from RefSeq and is a predicted model, not a curated record.
AACAGUCUAAAACAUAUUGCAUUGAUGGAGGCCAAUAUGAAAAAACUCUCUGAUUUACUGAGUAAGGGUUUGAGGAAGCAGCAAGCAAUGGCCCCAAAAGUGAAGGGUUUGUCAAGGGUGGAAUACUGAAAAACAAAAGGAAUAUAGUCAAUGGCGUCAACUUCAUUCGCCAAGCAGACUUUUGUGCCUAUGAAGGAAGCAGUGUCUAUCUAUACUCCAUAUCCACCUCCUCUUGCAAGAUAUGAAGAUGUUGUAGCUAGUCCAAAGCUUUUAAUAAGCUUAGACUAAAACCAUAUAGCGAGUGUCUAGCUAUAUCUAACUUAAUGUAUUAUCGAAUUCGCAUAAGUUUUAGUCUAAGGCUUUUACCAUAAGUUUAGAUCCAGUGUCUAGCUAAUUUUAUCUAAUUAACAGCCAUAUAGCGAGUAGUUGGAGUUUCUAGUUUUAUAGUUUCUAAUUCUAGUUUUAUAGUUUCUAAUUUUACCCGUCCCUUUAGCUUUGUCCCUGGUUGAUUCCUAUAUUUUGGUCAUCCAAAUUAUAUUUUAAAGUAUGGAUCAGGAUAAAAAAAUUAAGAAUUAAAAGUGGAAAACAGUAGAAACUAAAAUAAUACAUUAAAAAUUAUUAAAUUAUACUUGUUUACCCAUUUU